UGGGGAAUAUUGCACAAUGGGGGAAGCCCUGAUGCAGCAAUGCCGCGUGGGUGAAGGAGCACUCCGGUGCGUAAAGCCCUUUCAGCAGGGAAGAAAAUGACAGUACCUGAAUAAGAAGCCCCGGCUAACUACGUGCCAGCAGCCGCGGUAAUACGUAGGGGGCAAGCGUUAUCCGGAUUUACUGGGUGUAAAGGGAGCGCAGGCGGUGUGGCAAGUCAGAUGCGAAAACCCAGGGCCCAACCCUGGGAGUGCAUUUGAAACUGCCAUGCUGGAGUGCCGGAGAGGUAAGCGGAAUUCCUAGUGUAGCGGUGAAAUGCGUAGAUAUUAGGAAGAACACCAGUGGCGGAGGCGGCUUACUGGACGGUAACUGACGCUGAGGCUCGAAAGCGUGGGGAGCAAACAGGAUUAGAUACC
RNAcentral lists this ribosomal RNA (414 nucleotides) under uncultured bacterium. Its description in RNAcentral is "bacterial SSU rRNA". It matches the Rfam family "Bacterial small subunit ribosomal RNA", at positions 355 to 786 of the family's 1533-position model. The record is from RNAcentral.